CCUACGGGCGGCAGCAGUAGGGAAUAUUGCUCAAUGGGGGAAACCCUGAAGCAGCAACGCCGCGUGGAGGAUGAAGGUUUUCGGAUUGUAAACUCCUUUUGUUAGAGAAGAUAAUGACGGUAUCUAACGAAUAAGCCCCGGCUAACUCCGUGCCAGCAGCCGCGGGAAUACGGAGGGUGCAAGCGUUACUCGGAAUCACUGGGCGUAAAGAGCGCGUAGGCGGGAUAGCAAGUCAGAGGUGAAAUCCUAUGGCUUAACCAUAGAACUGCAUUUGAAACUGUUAUUCUAGAGUAUGGGAGAGGUAGGUGGAAUUCUUGGUGUAGGGGUAAAAUCCGUAGAGAUCAAGAGGAAUACUCAUUGCGAAGGCGACCUGCUAGAACAUAACUGACGCUGAGGCGCGAAAGCGUGGGGAGCAAACAGGAUUAGAUACCCGGGUAGUC
RNAcentral lists this ribosomal RNA (440 nucleotides) under uncultured bacterium. RNAcentral describes it as "partial 16S ribosomal RNA". It matches the Rfam family "Bacterial small subunit ribosomal RNA", at positions 338 to 795 of the family's 1533-position model. The record is from RNAcentral.